RNAcentral lists this small nucleolar RNA (75 nucleotides) under Anas zonorhyncha (Eastern spot-billed duck). RNAcentral's name for it is "Small nucleolar RNA R38 (ENSAZOG00000018804.1)". It matches the Rfam family "Small nucleolar RNA R38". From Rfam's summary of the family: snoR38 is a C/D box small nucleolar RNA conserved across yeast, human, Arabidopsis and rice. It is encoded in the intron of elongation factor-1 gamma in both pombe and cerevisiae. snoR38 guides the methylation of 2'-O-ribose sites in 28S rRNA. Lineage: Eukaryota; Metazoa; Chordata; Aves; Anseriformes; Anatidae. The record is from Rfam by way of RNAcentral.
CUGAGCUAGUGAUGAUUAUGUUAUCCCUGGCUGAAAUCACAUUUUCCCCUGUGGAAUCACGAUUCUGAGGCUCAG